Molecule: long non-coding RNA, 592 nt
Filed under: Zonotrichia albicollis (white-throated sparrow)
Lineage: Eukaryota; Metazoa; Chordata; Aves; Passeriformes; Passerellidae
Description: lncRNA (ENSZALG00000005280.1)
Source: RNAcentral
AGAUGAUGUAUAUAUUGAGGUGAAUAGCGAAGCAGAAAACUUCAAAAAACCUUGACUGCAAACUUUCAGGGUUCCUGUUAGGGUAACCUCUCUUAAUCAGAAAGAACUAACAGCUCCCUCCUAGCACAAGCUGAUUGGAUUUUUACAAAUGACCUUGGUCCUUCAGGGACAAGCCAGCAUGAGGGAUGAAUGAAUACACAUGAAGGAGCAAAGACAAGGCAGGGGAUCAAGCCAGAAGGAUUUGGUAGCAAAGAAGGGAUUGACACUGGCACUGAUGGGAAGGAGAUACUGCCGUGGUUUGCCCAAAAAUGAGACAGAACGUUUUCUUUCCUCCUGACGGAUAUGCAUUGGAAACAGGCAGAAGGUGGGUGCCUCAAAGCCACAAGAGAGGCUUGCUGUAAAAAUGAGAACACACAUUAAAAUCUCUAGCACUAGCUCUAAGAGUAAAUCAAACAUUUUCCUCAUUCCCUAAACACAACAACUCAGCAGAUGCAUCGGAAAAGGCAGAUAAAUAAUCAAGCCAGUGUUGGUUUACAGCUGUCCGGGGAAUUUCAGGUACUCUUGGAAUCCUGUGGCUCCUAACAUGGCAGUA